UCAUGUCGCGUCCGCCAUUGCCGCCGUUCACCAGAGAAACCGCCGCGCAGAAGGCGCGGAUGGCGGAGGAUGCCUGGAAUUCGCGCGAUCCGGUGAAGGUCUCGCUCGCCUACACCGAAGACAGCAUCUGNNNNNNNNNGAAUUCUUUCAGGGCCGCGCCGCGAUCGUCGAAUUCCUCACCCGCAAGUGGGCGAAGGAGCACGAAUACCGCCUGAUCAAGGAUCUGUGGGCGUUCGACCAAAAUUUUAUCUCGGUGCGUUUCCAGUACGAAUGGCAUGACGAUGCCGGAAACUGG
This 295-nucleotide unclassified non-coding RNA is filed under the name Hevea brasiliensis (rubber tree). The record is from RNAcentral. Lineage: Eukaryota; Viridiplantae; Streptophyta; Magnoliopsida; Malpighiales; Euphorbiaceae.